RNAcentral lists this non-coding RNA (20 nucleotides) under Arabidopsis thaliana (thale cress). Lineage: Eukaryota; Viridiplantae; Streptophyta; Magnoliopsida; Brassicales; Brassicaceae. RNAcentral also lists the same sequence under 2 other names. The record is from RNAcentral.
GCGAAACCACAGCCAAGGGA